CAGCAGUAGCCGCGGUAAAACGUAGGUGGCAAGCGUUGUCCGGAAUUAUUGGGCGUAAAGGGCUCGCAGGCGGUUUCUUAAGUCUGAUGUGAAAGCCCCCGGCUCAACCGGGGAGGGUCAUUGGAAACUGGGAAACUUGAGUGCAGAAGAGGAGAGUAGAAUUCCACGUGUAGCGGUGAAAUGCGUAGAGAUGUGGAGGAACACCAGUGGCGAAGGCGACUCUCAGGUCUGUAACUGACGCUGAGGAGCGAAAGCGUGGGGAGCGAACAGGAUUAGAUACCCGUGUAGUCCCUGUCUCUUAUAC
This 304-nucleotide ribosomal RNA is filed under the name uncultured bacterium. Its description in RNAcentral is "partial 16S ribosomal RNA". It matches the Rfam family "Bacterial small subunit ribosomal RNA", at positions 506 to 807 of the family's 1533-position model. The record is from RNAcentral.